AAUUCUAACACUAGUUGCGGUGUGUCGUCGGAGGACCAAACGGACCAACUCCAAUCCCUCGAGUCAUUCUCUUCAAUGCCUCAGGACGAGCCCGACUCAUUCUCCCCUUCUAUUCCGGAGUCGAACCCGAAUUACCAGAUGCCGCUCCCUUCACCCGCUGAAUCCACGUCGUCCAGCCCACCACCAACCCUCCUCCACAUCUCCUUCAACCAAGACCACGGCUGUUUCGCUGCCGGCACCGACCACGGCUUCCGGAUCUACAACUGCGAUCCAUUUCGCGAGAUAUUCCGCCGAGAUUUCGAACGCGGGGGAGGGAUCGGAGUCGUCGAGAUGCUUUUCAGAUGCAACAUACUCGCCCUCGUUGGCGGCGGGCCCGACCCGCAGUACC
This 388-nucleotide long non-coding RNA is filed under the name Citrus maxima (pomelo). RNAcentral describes it as "long non-coding RNA (CMAX_LNC002593)". Lineage: Eukaryota; Viridiplantae; Streptophyta; Magnoliopsida; Sapindales; Rutaceae. The record is from RNAcentral.